UACGGAGGGUGCAAGCGUUAUCCGGAUUCACUGGGUUUAAAGGGUGCGUAGGCGGUUAUGAGGGUGGGAUGUGAAAGCCCCGGGCUUAACCUGGGACGUGCAUUCCAAACGCCAUAACUGGAGUAUGGGAGAGGGUGGCGGAAUUUCCGGUGUAGCGGUGAAAUGCGUAGAGAUCGGAAGGAACGCCAGUGGCGAAAGCGGCCACCUGGCCCAAUACUGACGCUGAGGCACGAAAGCGUGGGGAGCGAACAGG
RNAcentral lists this ribosomal RNA (253 nucleotides) under uncultured bacterium. Its description in RNAcentral is "partial 16S ribosomal RNA". It matches the Rfam family "Bacterial small subunit ribosomal RNA", at positions 524 to 776 of the family's 1533-position model. The record is from RNAcentral.